Long non-coding RNA from Cucurbita moschata (crookneck pumpkin), 611 nucleotides. RefSeq lists it as uncharacterized. The transcript has 2 exons. NCBI's taxonomy places the organism in Eukaryota, Viridiplantae, Streptophyta, Magnoliopsida, Cucurbitales, Cucurbitaceae. The record is from RefSeq and is a predicted model, not a curated record.
AACUAUGAGAAUGGGUAUUUCGACAAAAAUUGGAAAUGGCUACCGAUUCAUGGCGUUCUGCAAGUUGCUUCACCUCCUCUCCAUCUUCCACGUCUCCUACUUCUCAAGUUGCUUCUGGCCUCUCAUCACCUUCCGAAAGUUCUUGAACUUCAGAUUAAUCUCAUGGAGAAUUCGCCCCAUUCUUAAACCCCAAUACUCCAAUCCAGAUUAAUUAAUGUUGGAAAAUCUUUCCCGAUAUCGCCGCCGCUAGCGCCGCCGUAAAAUUGGGAUCUUUUGUCAACGAAGAAGCCAUCUGUUCGACGAGAAACUUUUGCACUUCCGGCGACUCAAAUCUUGGGUUGGAAAUCGUUUUAGCUUCUGUCGUCGGUUUGGGCGGCGCAGACAAGGAUCUCGGAGCUGCCGUGAGCGGCGCCGGAGCUAUGCUGACAGAACGGGCGGAAGUGGGGUCGAUCUGAGAUGCUUGUGGAUGGUUAUGUUCGCCUUCAUAUGUGGCCACCAGAACUGAUUGAUCUUCUACACUUCUUUGAACCUGCAAAUUCAAAUUUCAUAAUCAAACCAUGUCCAAAAUUUCAAACAAAACUCAAAGAUUUUAAGUAAUAUUGUUAAAUUUA